RNAcentral lists this ribosomal RNA (497 nucleotides) under uncultured bacterium. Its description in RNAcentral is "partial 16S ribosomal RNA". It matches the Rfam family "Bacterial small subunit ribosomal RNA", at positions 28 to 507 of the family's 1533-position model. The record is from RNAcentral.
GAUGAACGCUGGCGGCGUGCCUAAUACAUGCCAGUCGAGCGAACGGACGAGAAGCUUGCUUCUCUGAUGUUAGCGGCGGACGGGUGAGUAACACGUGGAUAACCUACCUAUAAGACUGGGAUAAAUUCGGGAAACCGGAGCUAAUACCGGAUAAUAUUUUGAACCGCAUGGUUCAAAAGAGAAAGACGGUCUUGCUGUUUCUUAUUGCUGGAUCCGCGCUGCAUUAGCUAGUGGGUAAGGUAACGGCUUAACAAGGCAACGAUGCAUAGCCGACCUGAGAGGGGGACCGGCCACACUGGACCUGGGACACGGCCCAGACUCCUACGGGAGGCAGCAGUAGGGAAUCUUCCGCAAUGGGCGAAAGCCUGACGGAGCAACGCCGCGUGAGUGAGGAAGGUCUUCGGAUCGUAAACCUCUGUUAUUAGGGAAGAACAGAUGUGUAAGUAAAUGUGCACAUCUUGACGGUACCUAAUCAGAAAGCCACGGCUAACUACGUG